RNAcentral lists this non-coding RNA (29 nucleotides) under Cricetulus griseus (Chinese hamster). Lineage: Eukaryota; Metazoa; Chordata; Mammalia; Rodentia; Cricetidae. The record is from RNAcentral.
GUAAGUGUCAGGGUUUUUGUUUGCUUUGG